RNAcentral lists this ribosomal RNA (255 nucleotides) under Salmonella enterica subsp. enterica serovar Senftenberg. Its description in RNAcentral is "partial 23S ribosomal RNA". It matches the Rfam family "Bacterial large subunit ribosomal RNA", at positions 228 to 521 of the family's 2925-position model. Lineage: Bacteria; Pseudomonadati; Pseudomonadota; Gammaproteobacteria; Enterobacterales; Enterobacteriaceae. The record is from RNAcentral.
ACCGAGAUUCCCUCAGUAGCGGCGAGCGAACGGGGAGGAGCCCAGAGCCUGAAUCAGCAUGUGUGUUAGUGGAAGCGUCUGGAAAGGCGCGCGAUACAGGGUGACAGCCCCGUACACAAAAGCGCAUGUGCUGUGAGCUCGAUGAGUAGGGCGGGACACGUGGUAUCCUGUCUGAAUAUGGGGGGACCAUCCUCCAAGGCUAAAUACUCCUGACUGACCGAUAGUGAACCAGUACCGUGAGGGAAAGGCGAAAAG